RNAcentral lists this ribosomal RNA (756 nucleotides) under uncultured bacterium. Its description in RNAcentral is "bacterial SSU rRNA". It matches the Rfam family "Bacterial small subunit ribosomal RNA", at positions 49 to 791 of the family's 1533-position model. The record is from RNAcentral.
UUACACAUGCAAGUCGAGCGGCAGCGCGGGGCACUGGCGGCGAGCGGCGAACGGGUGAGUAAUGCAUCGGAACAUGUCCAUUCGUGGGGGAUAGCCCGGCGAAAGCCGGAUUAAUACCGCAUACGCCCUGAGGGGGAAAGCGGGGGACUUCGCAAGAGGCCUCGCGCGAAUGGGUUGGCCGAUGUCCGAUUAGCUAGUUGGUGGGGUAAAGGCUUACCAAGGCGAUGAUCGGUAGCUGGUCUGAGAGGAUGAUCAGCCACACUGGGACUGAGACACGGCCCAGACUCCUACGGGAGGCAGCAGUGGGGAAUUUUGGACAAUGGGGGCAACCCUGAUCCAGCCAUUCCGCGUGAGUGAAGAAGGCCUUCGGGUUGUAAAGCUCUUUUGUCCGGAACGAAACGGGUAGCGUGAAUAUCGCUGCCUACUGACGGUACCGGGAGAAUAAGCACCGGCUAACUACGUGCCAGCAGCCGCGGUAAUACGUAGGGUGCGAGCGUUAAUCGGAAUUACUGGGCGUAAAGCGUGCGCAGGCGGUUUUGUAAGCCAGAUGUGAAAGCCCCGGGCUCAACCUGGGAAUGGCAUUUGGGACUGCAAGGCUUGAGUGCGGCAGCAGGAGACUGGAAUUCCUGGUGUAACAGUGAAAUGCGUAGAUUUCAGGAGGAAUACCGAUGGCGAAGGCAGGGUCUCUGGAGCUGAACACUUGAGGCUCAUGCACCGAAAAGCCGUGAGGAGCAAACAGGAUUAGAUUACCCUGGU